RNAcentral lists this non-coding RNA (106 nucleotides) under Sulfobacillus acidophilus. RNAcentral describes it as "SAM-I sequence". It matches the Rfam family "SAM riboswitch aptamer (S box leader)". Rfam says of the family: The SAM riboswitch is found upstream of a number of genes which code for proteins involved in methionine or cysteine biosynthesis in Gram-positive bacteria. The SAM riboswitch acts at the level of transcription termination control. RNAcentral also lists the same sequence under 1 other name. Lineage: Bacteria; Bacillati; Bacillota; Clostridia; Eubacteriales; Clostridiales Family XVII. Incertae Sedis. The record is from RNAcentral.
UUCUUAUCCAGAGUGGUGGAGGGACUGGCCCGAUGAAGCCCGGCAACCCCGCAAAACGUGGGAGGGUGCCAAUUCCGGAAGAACUCAUGGUUCUUCAAGAUGAGAA